RNAcentral lists this small nuclear RNA (23 nucleotides) under Arabidopsis thaliana (thale cress). Its description in RNAcentral is "snRNA_18751". Lineage: Eukaryota; Viridiplantae; Streptophyta; Magnoliopsida; Brassicales; Brassicaceae. The record is from RNAcentral.
UAUCUGUAUAGUGAUGUACAGAU